Molecule: RNA transcript, 5511 nt
Organism: Gadus macrocephalus (Pacific cod)
Lineage: Eukaryota; Metazoa; Chordata; Actinopteri; Gadiformes; Gadidae
Gene name: mucin-2-like
Exons: 8
Source: RefSeq, a predicted model, not a curated record
CUGGAGGAUCAACAACCAGUGGAGGAUCAACAACCCCUGGAGGAUCAAUAACCACUGGGGGUUCCACAACUGGAGGAUCAACAACCACCGGAGGAUCAACAACCACUGGUGGAUCAUCAACUAGGGAAGGUGUGACAAGCACCGGAGAUUCAUCAAUAACUGGAGGUUCAGCCACAACUGGUAGUUCAACAAUGACUCAACGUUCAUCAACCACUGGAGUUUCAACAACAACUGGUGGAUCGACAACUGGCAGUUCUACAACAACUGGAGGAUCAACAGCUGGAGGGUCAACAACAGCUGGGGGAUCAACAACCACAGAAGGAUCAACUACUGGAGGGUCAGUAACAACAGCAGUGUCAACAUUAGAUGUGGAAUCAACAACCACUGGAGGAUCAACAACCACAGGGGGAUCAACAAUGACUGCAGGAUCAACAACCACUGGAGGAUCAACAACCAUUGGAGGAUCAACAACCACUGCAGUACCAACAACCACUGGCGGUCCAACAACAACCGCUUUAAUCGCAACUCCUAAUCCAGUUGUAGUUUUCACGGCCACAAUAGUAGAGCCAUUCACUGCAGGAGCAACAACCACUGGAGGAUCAUCAACCACUGGAGGAUCAUCAACCACUGGAGGAUCAUCAACCACUGAGGGUUUAACAGCUGGAGGUUCAACAACCACUGGAGGAUCAACAACCACUGGAGGAUCAACAUCAACAGGAAGUUCAACAACAGAAGUAUCAACAACAACAGGAGGAUCAACAACCACUGGAGGAUCAACAACAACUGGAGGAUCAACAACCACUGGAGGAUCAACAACCACUGGAGGAUUAACAACCACUGCAGGAUCAACAACCACUGGUGGAUCAACAACCACUGCAGGAUCAACAACCACUGGAGGAUCAACAACCACUGGAGGAUCAACAACCACUGGAGGAUCAACAACCACUGGAGGAUCAACAACCACUGGUGGAUCAACAACCACUGGAGGAUCAACAACCACUGGUGGAUCAUCAACUACGGAAGGUGUGACAAGCCCCGGAGAUUCAUCAAUAACUGGAGGUUCAGCCACAACUGGUAGUUCAACAAUGACUCAACGGUCAUCAACCACUGGAGUUUCAACUACCACUGGAGGAUCGACAACUGGCAGUUCUACAACAACUGGAGGAUCAACAGCUGGAGGGUCAACAACAGCUGGGGGAUCAACAACCACAGAAGGAUCAACUACUGGAGGGUCAGUAACAACAGCAGUGUCAACAUUAAACGUGGAAUCAACAACCACUGGAGGAUCAACGACAACAGGAAGUUCAACAACAGGAGUAUCAACAACAACAGGAGGAUCAACAACCACUGGAGGAUCAACAACAACAGCAGGAUCAACAACCACUGGAGGAUCAACAACCACUGGAGGAUCAACAACCACUGGAGGAUCAACAACCACUGGAGGAUUAAUAACCACUGCAGGAUCAACAACCACUGAGGGUUUAACAGCUGGAGGAUCAACAACCACUGGAGGAUCAACAACCACUGGAGGAUCAACAACCACUGGAGGAUCAACAUCAACAGGAGUAUCAACAACAGGAGGAUCAACAACCACUGGAGGAUCAACAACCACUGGUGGAUCAUCAACCACUGCAGGAUCAUCAACUACGGAAGGUGUGACAAGCACCGGAGAUUCAUCAAUAACUGGAGGUUCAGCCACAACUGGUAGUUCAACAAUGACUCAACGGUCAUCAACCACUGGAGUUUCAACAACAACUGGUGGAUCGACAACUGGCAGUUCUACAACAACUGGAGGAUCAACAGCUGGAGGGUCAACAACAGCUGGGGGAUACACAACCACAGAAGGAUCAACUACUGGAGGGUCAGUAACAACAGCAGUGUCAACAUUAAACGUGGAAUCAACAACCACUGGAGGAUCAACAACAACAGGAAGUUCAACAACAGGAGUAUCAACAACAACAGGAGGAUCAACAACCACUGGAGGAUCAACAACAACUGGAGGAUCAAUAACCACUGGAGGAUCAACAACAACUGGAGUAUCAACAACCACUGGAGCAUCAACAACCACUGGAGGAUUAAUAACCACUGCAGGAUCAACAACCACUGAGGGUUUAACAGCUGGAGGAUCAACAACCACUGGAGGAUCAACAACCACUGGAAGAUCAACAACCACUGGAGGAUCAACAUCAACAGGAGUAUCAACAACAGGAGGAUCAACAACCACUGGAGGAUCAACAACCACUGGUGGAUCAUCAACCACUGCAGGAUCAUCAACUACGGAAGGUGUGACAAGCACCGGAGAUUCAUCAAUAACUGGAGGGUCAGUAACAACAGCAGUGUCAACAUUAAACGUGGAAUCAACAACCACUGGAGGAUCAACAACAACAGGAAGUUCAACAACAGGAGUAUCAACAACAACAGGAGGAUCAACAACCACUGGAGGAUCAACAACAACUGGAGGAUCAAUAACCACUGGAGGAUCAACAACAACUGGAGUAUCAACAACCACUGGAGCAUCAACAACAACAGAAGUAUCAAUAACAACUGGAGGUUCAACAACCACUGAAGCCCCAAUAAUUACCCCUCCAGUUUUUGUUAUCACCGCAGUGAUAAUGCAGACAUUUAUUCCUGCUUAUAAUAAUAAUACCUCACCCGAAUAUCAAGCACUUGAGACCAAAGUUGUGAUAACGUUUAACGCAAUCUACACAGCUCAAUUUGGCGACCGGUUCAUUCGGACAAUUGUCAUCGGAUUCAGGAUCCCUGCGACUCGAUCGACCAAUACGGAAACAGAAGUAGAGCUUGAGUUUCAGCCAACUACUUUGUCACAACCGAUCCCACACGCUGACGAUGUUCGAAGUACCCUGGUCGAAGGACUGAACAACCUAAACAUAACCUCUAACCUCACUGUAGAUACGGAAAGCAUUACGAUCACAAGUAUGUAAACCCUUUGCAGGAUCUUUCAUAACAUUGUUCGCCUACAAUUUGGGAUAACAGCAACCACAGGGAAUACAGACAGCCAAUUGUAAAAAUUUGGGGCUUCAUUAAAUACCCUUUACUUUGGUUUUACUUGCUUGACAGGAAUUUGAGGGGAAAUGCAAGUUAAUAAGUGCUACUCUUUGGUAAAUACACAUUUCUGAGGCAAAUUCCAUGUCUUCUACAUUCUAGUAGCAUUCAAACAAAAUGUCAGUUCAAGGUGCUUUAAGUAAGCAGAAAUCUGACGAAAGACCCAUAAAAAGAGGGAUAUUGUUUGAAGGGAGCAACCACUGAAUGUUUUACCAAGGCAUAAUAAUUUCAGGGCUGGAUAUCGUAAAACAGAUAUGAUGAAUUUAACCACAUUGUUUCACUAUACAUUUCAGAGUUACUGUUUUAAAGAGGUUUUAAAUCAUUACAAAUAGCGUUCAAACUUUUCUGACCUUCAAAUUUUGCUUUUGCAGAAACUACAACUACUACAACAACUACCAGUUCACCAACGACUACUGCAGGAUUAUCAACAACCACUGGAGGUUCAACCACCACAGGAGGAUCAACAACCACUGGAGGAUCCACAAUGACUGCAGGACAAACAACAACGGCAGGAUCAACAACCACUGGAGGGUCGACAACCACUGGAGGAUCAACAACGACUGCAGGACCAACAACCACUGGAGAAUCAACAACCACUGGAGGAACAACAUCUACUGAAGUAUCAACAACAGCUGGAGGAUCAACAACCACUUCAGUAUCAACAACCACUGGAGGAUCAACAACUACUGGAGGAUCAACAACCACUGGAGGAUCAACAACCACUGGAGGAUCAACAAGCACUGAAGGAUCAACAACCACUGCAGUACCAACAACCACUGGAGGAGCAACGACCACUGGAGUAUCAACAACAGUUGGAGGAUCAACAACCACUGCAGUACCAACAACCACAGCAGUACCAACAACCACUGGAGAAUCAACAACCACUGGAGAAUCAACAACCACUGGAGGAUCAACCACCACUGCAGUACCAACAACCACUGGAGGAGCAACAACCACUGGAGCAUCAACAACCACAGAAGGGUCGACAACCACUGGAGGAUCAACAACCACUGGAGGAUCAACAACCACUGGAGGAUCAACAACCACUGGAGUAUCAACAACCACUGGAGGAUCAACAACAACUGGAGGAUCAACAACAACUGAAGCCCCAAUAAUUACCCCUCCAGUUUUUGUUUUCACCGCAGUGAUAAUACAGAUAUUUAUUCCUGCUUAUAAUGAUAAUACCUCUCCCGAAUAUCAAGCACUUGAGACCGAAGUUGGGAUAACGCUUAACGCAAUCUACACAGCUCAAUUUGGCGACCGGUUCAUUCGGACAAUUGUCAUCGGAUUCAGGAUCCCUGCGACUCGAUCGACCAAUACGGAAGCAGAAGUAGAGCUUGAGUUUCAGCCAACUACUUCGUCACAACCGAUCCCACAGGCUGACGAUGUUCGAAGUACCCUGGUCGAAGGACUGAACAACCCAAACAUAACCUCUAACCUCACUGUAGAUACGGAAAGCAUUACGAUCACAAAAACUCCAACUACUACAACAACUACCAGUUCACCAACGACUGCUGCAGGAUUAUCAACAACCACUGGAGGUUCAACCACCACAGGAGGAUCAACAACCACUGGAGGAUCCACAAUGACUGCAGGACAAACAACAACGGCAGGAUCAACAACCACUGGAGGGUCGACAACCACUGGAGGAUCAACAAUGACUGCAGGACCAACAACCACUGGAGAAUCAACAACCACUGGAGGAACAACAUCUACUGAAGUAUCAACAACAGCUGGAGGAUCAACAACCACUUCAGUAUCAACAACCACUGGAGGAUCAACAACUACUGGAGGAUCAACAACCACUGGAGGGUCAACAACAGCUGGAGGAUCAACAACCACUUCGGUACCAACAACCACUGGAGGAUCAACAACCACUGGAGGAUCAACAACCACUGGAGGAUCAACAACCACUGCAGGUUCAACCACAACUGGAGGUCCAACAACCACUGGAGGAUCAACAACCACUGGAGGAUCAACAACAACUGGAGGAUCAACAACCACUGGAGCAUCAACAACCACUGGAGGAUCAACAACCACUUCAGUACCAACAACCACUGGAGGAUCAACAACCACUGGAGGAUCAACAACCACUGGAGGAUCAACAACCACUGCAGGUUCAACCAGAACUGGAGGUCCAACAACCACUGGAGGAUCAACAACCACUGGAGGAUCAACAACAACUGGAGGAUCAAUAACCACUGGAGCAUCAACAACAACAGAAGUAUCAACAACAACUGGAGGUUCAACAACCACUGAAGCCCCAAUAAUUACCCCUUCAGUUUUUGUUAUCACCGCAGUGAUAAUGCAGACAUUUAUUCCUGCUUAUAAUAAUAAUACCUCACCCGAAUAUCAAGCACUUGAGACCGAAGUUGUGAUAACGUUUAACGCAAUCUACACAGCUCAAUUUGGCGACCGGUUCAUUCGGACAAUUGUCAUCGGAUUCAG